Long non-coding RNA from Saccostrea cuccullata (small rock oyster), 1062 nucleotides. RefSeq lists it as uncharacterized. The transcript has 2 exons. The record is from RefSeq and is a predicted model, not a curated record. NCBI's taxonomy places the organism in Eukaryota, Metazoa, Mollusca, Bivalvia, Ostreida, Ostreidae.
UGUAAUGGUUAUAAGACGAAAACUGUCCAUUAUGUCAGAUAUUAGACGACCCGAGGCGCGUUAGCGCCGAGGAGAGUCUAAUAUCUGACAUAAUGGUCAGUUUGAGGCUUAUAACUUACUUAAAACAUUUCACCAUUGUCGAACACUUCCAUUGUUAACUUAUUGGACAGCCACAGGUAAGGUCUCAUUCUGCUUGGAUGACUACCUGGCACUGUUCAUCAAGUUAGGCCAAAGAAAACCAGUUUUGGUUUUUCUUCUGAUUUUAUUAAUAGUAGGAAUCAUCGAGAGGUGUUUUAUAUCGAUAAAUAUGAACAUUAACUUUGUUUAGUCUUAUUUGUCCGCAUUGCGACAUUUUUUAUCUAUACUACGCAUGCGUAAAAGUCAGUUCUACUAAAUUCUUGACAAUUUAUUCAUUUUACAACGCAGCGACGACGGAUGACGACGUGCGUUUUGAUUUUGAAAAAAUACUUUCAGAAUCGGGUGUUUUUUCGAUGCCAUUUAUCGAUUACACCAAAAUACCUCAGUUCAAGUUUUUACCAUGAAAUCCGGAUACAUAUUCUUAUGUUUCGGAGUUUCCCGUUAACAGGUUUCGAACUCGGAAGGAUUUUACCCCAGUCACUCCUUAAAACAACGACAGACACUCGCUCAAACGACGCAGGACUAGGUGGACAAAUGGUAAUAAAUCACUGAACGAAAUUACAGAUUCUGUUGGAAUUUCGUGAGCGAAAUUUUGUGCUAAAUGCGGAAAAAUGGAUAUUUCAAUAAACAAAAAGCCCAAGGUUGUGUGUAAGAAAAUGCAUUCUUCUCAUUCAUUCUUUGUGUCCAUUGGAUUCUAUAUUAUGUUCCGUGAAUCAAGCAUUGGGAAAUGAAUCUAUUAUAUAGCAAUGAACGGUGAAUUCAGGAACUUUAUGAUCGGAGCCACGGAUGCGUCUACAAUAAUUAAUCUGAGACAUUCAAUUCACUGGAUUUUUUGUGCCAUUUUCAAUAGGAUUUUUUGUGAAAUAUUAACAUUUAACGCUACUAUUUUCCUACGUUGUUCAUAUUAAAUUGUUUGAUUUGUCA